UACGAAGGGGGCUAGCGUUGUUCGGAAUUACUGGGCGUAAAGCGCGCGCAGGCGGUUCUUUAAGUCAGGGGUGAAAGCCCAGAGCUCAACUCUGGAAUUGCCUUUGAAACUAGAGAACUUGAGUACGGGAGAGGUGAGUGGAAUUCCGAGUGUUGAGGUGAAAUUCGUAGAUAUUCGGAAGAACACCAGUGGCGAAGGCGGCUCACUGGCCCGUUACUGACGCUCAGGCGCGACAGCGUGGGGAGCAAACAGG
RNAcentral lists this ribosomal RNA (253 nucleotides) under uncultured bacterium. Its description in RNAcentral is "partial 16S ribosomal RNA". It matches the Rfam family "Bacterial small subunit ribosomal RNA", at positions 524 to 776 of the family's 1533-position model. The record is from RNAcentral.